AAUAAAUUACAAUCACAAAUAAAACAUGAAGAAACAAGAACAUUUUAUUAAUAACGAAUAUGGGUACAAUUUUGUUCCUCCCUUGAUUGAUCUCUCAUGAUUUUCUCCAUAAUUCAAGGGUCGUAACGUAUUUCUCAAACAUAGGAAUAUGGAUCUUCAUAAUUUGAGGGUCGUAGCGUAUUUCUCGAAUAUAGGAAUAUGGAUCUUUUUGAUGUAUUUGAUUAUCAAGAAAGAGGAUUUUGAUCUAUGAAUAUCCCGAAUUUCUGAGAUAUUCAAGAUGCUUCUUUAAGAUAAUAUUUGUCUCUUUAUAUAGGCAUAGUUCAGGAUUUAGGGUAAAUUAGACUCUAAGAUCUCUAACAGCAUUUAGAUUCUUUUUGUAGAGUGCCACAAAUUUUAGAUGUCUACAAAUGCCCCCUACUUCAAGGCUUGUCGAAGUGUACUUGAUGACGAGUCUUGAAGUACCCAUAGAGCUUCCAUCUUGAUGCAGCUGCAGAUUUGAUGCGGCUACAAAUUUACACAUAUGAUUUAUGAUUUCCUCCCUUGAUUGAUCUCUCGUGAUUUUCUCCAUAAUUUGAGGGCCGUAGCGUAUUUCUCGAACAUAGGAAUAUGAAUCUUCAUAAUCCGAGGGGAUCUUCUUGAUGUAUUUGAUUAUCAAGAAAGAAGAUUUUGAUCUAUGAAUAUCCCGAAUUUCUGAG
This 695-nucleotide long non-coding RNA is filed under the name Capsicum annuum. RNAcentral describes it as "long non-coding RNA (CANN_LNC012965)". Lineage: Eukaryota; Viridiplantae; Streptophyta; Magnoliopsida; Solanales; Solanaceae. The record is from RNAcentral.